UCUUGUGCUGUGCGGUGCUGUGUGUGUGUGUGUGUGCUUCAACGGAAUGCCCGUGCAGGCAACGCAUCACAGAGAAAAGGACGCAGGCAGACCACCAAACGAGCAAGCAGAGCGACAAGCAGACAGAGGCGGUGCUUCCGUUGUGUCGCUCGUAGGCAGAAGCUGCACCCACACGACUUUCCCUCCCCCCGUCCCUACCCUUCUUGGUAGUGAGAAGUAUCACCAGCACCGCCGCUACGACGAAAACCCCUCGCUCUCCCUCCCCAUCUACACAACCAGCUCAUGCUGCAUUACAUUCAGUUACUUGGCUCUGACACGCCGAACGGGUACGGUGGAUGCUGCUACUACGGCCCGCUUGAUCAUCCUGCUCUGCAUGCGUCUACCCUUUCCUCUGCAACGGGGUCGGGCCCCCCUACAGGGGGGGUGCCGCCAGCCUCAAGGCACAGCUAUGUUGUUGAUGCCGAAGCGACCGUUCCCGCUCCUACGCUUGUGCCAUCGGUGAAUGCAAGUGCUCACGAAACACUUCACCAGUUCUCCCCGACUGGUGAGGUAGCCGAGCCUGCAGUGCCCUCGUCGUGGAACUGGUCCUCGUACCUCACGGCGAAGCGACCAACGUGGCCGCGAGCUGGUCCAUUCCACACGGCCAAACUCCUACACCCACAGCCACCUUCACCAUCCGUGUCACCAUCAGCGGUAGCAACGGCGUCAACGCCGCACGUGACGGCAGACACCGGCUUCAGUGGCAGCGAGGGCUACAUUUUCUUCAACUGUCCAGAGGGUACACAACGGUUUAGCUCGGAGGCGAACAUCAAGCUCAAGAAGGUGCGAGGCUUCUUCUUCACGCGGUGGAGCAGCUCGAAGACUGCCGUGUAUCCGCUUCCGUCGGGCAAUGUCGCCAGCUCCGUCGAAGAUGAGCAGCACGGCAGCGCAUCAGCAGACGCCGUCGACGCUCCCGCAGACACGACGGCGUUAGAGAUGCCUGUCGGCGCGGCGUCAGCUGUGAUGGGGUUGCCUGGCAUGCUCUUCACCAUCAACGAUGCCGGUGCACGACAUGCCACAUUCUUCGGCCCAAGUGCGGCUCUGGACGAUCCACCGCAGCCCGCUCAUAUGGAGGGCGUCGCGCGGGCUGGCACGCGCAACGGCGAUGGUGGUAGCGAGCCCCACAACUCCAACAGUGAGCAGGCUUAUGCGCACGCUUGCGGAUCUCCGUGUGCUGGCGACUCAGCGGCGACUUCAUCAACGGGAGGUUCAGCGGUUGCUGCGCCAGGAGCACAGCUGCCGUCGCCACUGUCGUCGGCUGGUCUGCGCGGCUUCCUGACGGCUCUACGCUUCCACUACUUCCAGUACCGACCCAUGGUCUUCCGGCAGCUCCACGGAUUGGUACGACAUGCGAUGGAUCAAGCUGCCGUCAGCGGCCACAGUGUCGACGCCACGAGCGCGGCUGCAAUCGCAGGGAACAACCAGCUGCACUUUGUGGAAACGGUGGGGGAGCCGACAGCAUCACGUGGCGCGCAACCGGGCAGGCCGCUGACGGGGCUGUCGCCUUUCAUUCAUGCAACACUGCCGCUCAGCCCGCAGAGUCUGCUUGUGACGUUUCGCGUAUCGGGUGGCCGCAGAGGUGGCGAGAGCGAGAGCGCCGCCACAGCUGCAGCCGCUGCGGGCGAUGCGAGGAUGAGCCUUUUACAGCCGACGUCUCCGUCCGCCAUGCCGGAAGACGAGCAGCAGCGUCAUCAGCUGCGUCACGCGUACUUUGCAGGGCAUAUCGAGAGAGCGGACCAAAGGGCAGACACAGAUACGGCAGGGUCGACGAUGUCCUUCACGGCCCCAACGAGCCAUGAUGUCGUCUUCGGCUACGCGAUCAUUGUGGCGCCAGGGCCGAGCUUCGACGCCGCCAAGGCGCGCGCGCUAGGUGUCCGCUCGGGCCCCAAGUACGGCCAGCUCAAGCUGGGGAUGUCUGUGCAGGCAGACACGGAUGCGGGGGUGGCGGACACGUCCGCCGCAUCCAUGCCGCCCUCGCAGAAUGCCACCGUUGCCUUUGGGCACACCAACGACCAAUUACCCACCCCAACGCAACGCUGGGUGCACCCUCAUCAGGUGAUGCGGCCCACCGCGGCAACGAGGCACGCAUACAUCUCGCUUGUGCUGGACGGUGAUCGACCUGAGGAUGUACGAGAGGCAGUCGCACGGCUCUUAGGCAGCUCCGUCGGUGGCGAUGGGGAAUCCCCUUCGAGGAGCUCUGCUGCCGCGUGCAGGGAAGCUGAGGAGGACGACAAUACCUGCUGCAACGCUGCGGUAGGGGAGCAUAGCGAUGGGGUGCUGCAGCGGCUGCUGCGCGAGUACUUUCCUCACCUCGCGUACUACUACGAAGAGGACGAUAAGGUGGGCGAGGGGACGGCGGCAGCUCCACCUCAUUCGCAGGAGCCACGUCUGAGGCGACGACCGCGUCAGCUCGCUGUGCGACACGUCGUGCACGUGCAGCCCACGUCGUACUUUGCUCAAUUUGAGCGUCGCUGCCGCCACAACGCGCUGCUCCAUUCGCCAUUCGUGCGUGAGGACAGGGCUCAGGCGCGGCCGAAGACACUGCCGCCGUCGUUACACCGCGAAGCUGGCGCACCCGGCGUCUACGCCGCCUACAACGCGUACAUAUUCGCGGAUGUAGCUGGCCAGCACGAUCCGCUUCAUCAUCAGCGCGUCUGCGCCGCAGCGGAUCACGGCGAAGAAGAGGCGGUGGCGGCGAGGGUCGAGGCGGGUGGUGACGCGGUCGUGGUUAAGAACGUAUCUUCGCCGCCGCGACAGGACUCUUCUAAAUCUCUUUCAGCGGUGCAGCUAUCGCUGGCCCCGUCGCUCUCUUUCACUCUUGACGACAUGGCCGACACUGCUGAUGGUGACGCGGAGAUGGGCGAGAGGGGGGAGUGCGAGAGCGACUCUGCGUGGAUCGGGGAGGCGCACAGGUGCCGCCCGCCGCCGCCGCUGCCGCACGGGACCCCUCCGGAGGCAGAACUGCCACGGUACAAGACAUGGCAGCUGUUCACCAGCUAUGUGCAGCGGCACUUCACAGCCUUCCCGACGGCGCUCGUUCAUCGCUAUCAUCUACACCACCUCGCGCCUUCCCUCUUUCCUAUUGUGGGGGCGACAGCGCUGACGCAAAGAGCUGGUGGUGCUGGUAACGCCACUGAGGAUCGCGCAGCUCGUAGCGGCACAGCAGCAGGGGCUGCUAUCUCCACGGAGGCUUCCAGCAGCGGUAGUGCGGUGCGCGCGCAGCGCGCAAAGCCAAGCGUGUCGAACUCGAGUAGUUCCUCGGCAGAGGACGUUGUGGAGUACUGGCCCUACUCGUUGAAGCUGCGGUGCAUUCCUGAGGCGACGCUGCAGCUGCCUUACAAACAGCACGCCACAGCGAAGAAGGCUACCCAAGCACAGCAGGGGGCAGAGAUGGCAGGGCCGGUGCGGCAGGCACCAUCAACCGUCAAUGCUUCUUUGGGCCACGAUGCUGCUACUGCUGCUGCAGUGCCUUCCCCUCACUUGCCGGCUCCCCGCAAGCGUGAGCGGCAGGUGAGUUCGAGCCGUGAUUCUGCGUCAGCACCGGCUUGCACCGUGCAUGCUAGUGCUUCCUCUUCGACAGCAAAUGCAGCAACUCCAAGAGUGCUACCACCAGCAGCAGCAGCUCGCACUCGGCCUCCUUCAGCACCACCGCGCCGAGCUGCUGUCGUGGAUGGAGUCGCAUCGUUGCUUCCAUACCCUACGCCAGCCUCUGCGCUAGCCCUUCUCUCCACCGCGUUUCUGCGCUCGCUCAGGACAAGUUCCGUCGUUGCCGCCGCCGCCGCCGUAGCAGCGGCUGGAGAAGUACCUGCGACGCCCUCGACGCCGACGGAGAGUCGUGUGGACAGACACGGCGGCUUCGCAGCUUCGCAACAGCGCGUGGACGUGCCCAGCACUGGUAUGGGCUGCAUGGGCGGUGGCGCACUGGGCUUUCUCGGCACCGGCUCCGCUGUUCCCAGCAAGUACCGAAACGUGAGUGGCACCUUCCUCGAGUUACACCUUCCCGCUUACUGCUUUCCAGGAGGGGACUGCCCUGUCAAGCCUCUUCUUCACGAUGAUGAUAGCGCUCAUGCCUCGGGAGCUGCAGCGGUAGUGGCAGAGGAUACACCGUCGGCGACAUUUGCCAGACCCCCCGCGGGCGAGGCCACAUGCGCGCGACGUGAGGGUGAUGCCGUGCUUGGUUUUGGCUCGUCCGACUCCUCCACUUGUUCUCGCGGCCCCGCCACAGCUAGCAUCGAUGGCUCACAGAAGAUUGUGCCACGACGCUGUUCGUCAGCACCGCUGACGAUGGGUUCGCAGCAACUUCGACGUGGGGUGGUUAUCCUGGACUUUGGCGAGGGCAGUGCCGGGCAACUCGCCUCCCUUUGCGGGCGAGUCCGUGGCGGUAGCGCAUGUAGUCAGCGUCCGCCUAGCUGCUCGUUGACUGCGUCACCGAUGCACGCCACACUUGACGGCCAUCGAGUGAACGGCAGGGACCGGCGCGAGGGUGCCGGCGACCACGCGGAGGACGCAGAGACUUACACGUCCUCUCCCCACGCAGCCUCCGCGGAGGAUGCCACGGAGUUCGAGGAUGAUGCGGACGUACGUCUUCGACAGUUUGUGCUGGACAUUGUACUCGUCUUCAUAUCACACGCGCACGCCGACCACCACCUCGGCCUCAUGUCCCUCCUCACGCUGCGCCAUGAAUACCUUCAACGCGGCCCAUCCGCGCUGCCGCCGGCGCCAAAACUACUUAUCGUGUGCCCGACAGAGGUCUACGCGUUCAUGAUGGACGCCUGGGGCAGCACGCCACCCUACACGACAUGGCUUCAUGAAGAGUGCGUCUUUGAUCUGAUGCCGCCAUCCUUCAGUGGCCUUCGCAGGGAGGGCCGGUGGCCCGACGCGCUGGCGGCCGAAGAGGGCGAUGCUGCGCCGCACGGGCGCCAGGAAAAGCUCCAAGCGGCCACCGCCGUCGCGGACAACAACGUUCCAGACAGUGCGGAUGGCACGGAGCGCGACCAAGACGCUGUCGGUGAUGGCGGUGUAGACUCACGUCGUGCUGCAUCGUUCACGCAUCGAUUCCGUCAUGACCGUCACGCUCUUCACGCUUCCAACAACCAGCCAGAGCAACAGCAUGUUGUACCGAUGCCGCUGCUGCAAGCGCACCUCACUAUGUGGAACCAGGCCAUCGCAGUCGGCAUCCGGCACCACCAGCGGCAGCCCCCCUCCGACUCGCCCCUGCCAUCUUCCUCUGAACCGCUGGCAGGCACCUCGAUGAAGGCAGCGGCAGCAUCGGUGAAGGGCAACAUCUGGUGGGACGCGGAGGUGAUCACCGUGGAUCACCCCGCCAACGCCCACGCGCUUCUCUUGCGUUUUCCCUUCUGCUCAUUGAUGAAGGAGCAGGGCAUGCACGGCGUGUGUGGCGAGGCGGCGGAGGACGGCGGACCCCGCACGGCCAACCCAGACGCGGCUGAGGCUGCGACUGGACGACAGCGCAGCCAAGAGCCGCUCUCGCGUGUCCCUGACAGCUCUCGUGUGCUGCUCUUCUCAGGUGACACACGCCCGUCGUCCUUUUUGGUAGAACGCAGUUGGGCCUUUGCCACGUCGGCGCCGAGUCGGCUGCCAAGAUGCGCUGACUACACCGAACUCACCAUCCAGGAUGGGGUCGUGCCUGACGAAGCCGACUCAGGCAGCGCUCUCGAGGGGGGGAGGGCGGCCCUCGUGGCGAAGGCGAACGCAAGCGGCAGCAUGGAUAGGAUUCGAGAAGCAGCGCUACCGCGACUGCCUACUUCGACGUCGCCGUCGUCGCUUUCUUCGCCAGUCUUCAUUCUCUUGCACGAAGCGACGUUCGGGCCCGGGUUCGAAGGCGAGGCGGUUCGCAAGAAGCACUCGACGCUUCCCGAGGCACUCCGCAUCGGCGUUGCGGUGCGGGCGGAGUUCAUCGUCUUGAAUCACUUCUCGCAGCGCUACCCAAAACUGCCAGGCUUGUCAGAGGAGCAGCUGGGGGGACGGUCGGCGGACCUCGUCUGCCAACGCCGCACGCGAGCCUCCGCCGCGGUGGCCGCGACGUCGGCGGUGACUGCUGCGGAGACACAGAACCCUGCCGACCAUGUCAGCGGCGGCCUAGCGAGCGCAAGUGCGCCAAGGUCAAGCAGCCCUGGCGAGCAGCAGGGGCUGGCAGGAAAAGCUUUAUCAAAGGCUUUGAGGCAGGAGAGCGGCCGCAGCAAAUGGGAGCGGGAUGCUGAGCAGACAGCGGACGCAAGCCGGCCACUGCCGCCGCCACACAUCGCUACGGACGACGCGGCCGCAUCGCCUUACGCGAACAUGUCCUUCGCCUUCGAUCUUAUGUUUGUGUCGUUUAGCGAUAUGCAGCGCGGGCUCGUGCCGCGACUCACGCCGACACUCGUGCGGCUGCUGGAGGAGUACGACUCGUGGGGAAGCGGCACAACGCAGCGGAUGCGCAGCGGCGGAGGCGGCGGUGAUGGUAGUGGUGGUCGUCCGCAGAAGCAGCAGCAGCAGCAGCGGAAGUCGCCCGCUACUCCAUCAACGACGGCUUCGAGUGCGCCAGCCGGUAUCGACAGCAACACGAGCGGUGCAGCAGCGCAGAGGGCGGCUUACGACGAGUCGGCGUAAAAGAAGAUAUCGAGCAACAGCGGAGAGGGCGAGUGCGCGACGCGCCAGGUAUGCCUUCUAAUAAUGCGACUAAGGCAUGCCGCGAGCUCGCCCUCCCCUCCCCUCCCCUCCCCCUUCGGUAUGCAGGAAGGAAUGCACGCAUGCCGAAGGGGGAGGGGAGGGGAGGGCGAGCUCUCGGCAUGCCGUUCGUUCCCCUACCAUGCAACGG
This 6856-nucleotide unclassified non-coding RNA is filed under the name Leishmania donovani. Its description in RNAcentral is "gene:LdHU3.08.1190(CDS-product:Beta-lactamase_sup erfamily_domain_containing_protein_putative)". The record is from RNAcentral. Lineage: Eukaryota; Euglenozoa; Kinetoplastea; Trypanosomatida; Trypanosomatidae.